UCUCACUGUAGAAGGAGGUGAUUCUCGAUGCUGGUCCUUAAAUGGUACAUGUCAAUAUACAUCGGAAGCUUGUAUCAAAUUCAAACCAGGAUAUUGUGCCGGACCAACUAAUAGACAAUGUUGUGUUAUAGGGGCGGAUAUACCAUGCUGGUUGAGAAGGGGAACAUGCCAAAGUACUUCGGACUACUGUGGUGGAGAAUUUCUGAGAGGGCUAUGUGGCGGAGAUCGGUCGCGCCGUUGUUGUGUGUAAUUCUAAUUUCAGAAAUAAAAUCAGAAUAAUUUUA
This is a long non-coding RNA of Saccostrea cuccullata (small rock oyster), 284 nucleotides long. RefSeq lists it as uncharacterized. The transcript has 3 exons. The record is from RefSeq and is a predicted model, not a curated record. NCBI's taxonomy places the organism in Eukaryota, Metazoa, Mollusca, Bivalvia, Ostreida, Ostreidae.